RNAcentral lists this long non-coding RNA (212 nucleotides) under Musa acuminata (dwarf banana). RNAcentral's name for it is "long non-coding RNA (MACU_LNC003957)". The record is from RNAcentral. Lineage: Eukaryota; Viridiplantae; Streptophyta; Magnoliopsida; Zingiberales; Musaceae.
ACAAGCACAAUGCGUCCCUUAUAGCAUAAUUCUUUUGAGUCCCGAUUGUAAUGAGCCACGGAGCUUGGUGCUUCCUCUAAUUUUUUUUGUAUCUUACUGGUCUCCAAAUCUUCCUGCCAUUCCAUCCUAAUAUCCUCAAGGAAGUCGCUGGUUGGAAGUAAAACGACCGAAAAUUCAGCUUGCUCAGGUAGCUGCGAAAGCGCAUCUGCAAC